RNAcentral lists this transfer RNA (72 nucleotides) under Kwoniella mangroviensis CBS 8886. RNAcentral describes it as "tRNA-Arg (TCT) (tRNA-Arg-TCT-1-1)". It matches the Rfam family "tRNA". Rfam says of the family: Transfer RNA (tRNA) molecules are approximately 80 nucleotides in length. The record is from RNAcentral. Lineage: Eukaryota; Fungi; Basidiomycota; Tremellomycetes; Tremellales; Cryptococcaceae.
GCCCUGUUAGCGCAGUGGUAGCGCAUGUAACUUCUAAUCAUAAGGUCGCGGGUUCGACCCCCGCAUGGGGUU